UACGUAGGGUGCGAGCGUUAAUCGGAAUUACUGGGCGUAAAGCGUGCGCAGGCGGUUUGUUAAGACAGGCGUGAAAUCCCCGGGCUCAACCUGGGAACUGCGCUUGUGACUGGCAGGCUAGAGUACGGCAGAGGGGGGUGGAAUUCCACGUGUAGCGGUGAAAUGCGCAGAUAUCGGGAGGAACACCCGUAGCGAAGGCGGCACUCUGGGCCGGAACUGACGCUGAGGAGCGAAAGCGUGGGGAGCAAACAGG
This 253-nucleotide ribosomal RNA is filed under the name uncultured bacterium. Its description in RNAcentral is "partial 16S ribosomal RNA". It matches the Rfam family "Bacterial small subunit ribosomal RNA", at positions 524 to 776 of the family's 1533-position model. The record is from RNAcentral.